This 446-nucleotide ribosomal RNA is filed under the name uncultured bacterium. RNAcentral describes it as "bacterial SSU rRNA". It matches the Rfam family "Bacterial small subunit ribosomal RNA", at positions 331 to 794 of the family's 1533-position model. The record is from RNAcentral.
CCAGACUCCUACGGGAGGCAGCAGUGGGGAAUAUUGCACAAUGGGGGAAACCCUGAUGCAGCGACGCCGCGUGAGUGAAGAAGUAUUUCGGUAUGUAAAGCUCUAUCAGCAGGGAAGAAAAUGACGGUACCUGAUUAAGAAGCCCCGGCUAACUACGUGCCAGCAGCCGCGGUAAUACGUAGGGGGCAAGCGUUAUCCGGAUUUACUGGGUGUAAAGGGAGCGUAGACGGCAGCGCAAGUCUGAAGUGAAAUGCCGGGCUUAACCCCGGAACUGCUUUGGAAACUGUGCAGCUAGAGUGCAGGAGAGGUAAGUGGAAUUCCUAGUGUAGCGGUGAAAUGCGUAGAUAUUAGGAGGAACACCAGUGGCGAAGGCGGCUUACUGGACUGUAACUGACGUUGAGGCUCGAAAGCGUGGGGAGCAAACAGGAUUAGAUACCCUUGUACGA